Molecule: ribosomal RNA, 1436 nt
Filed under: uncultured organism
Description: SSU rRNA
Rfam family: Bacterial small subunit ribosomal RNA
Source: RNAcentral
AUCUACAGGCUUAACACAUGCAAGUCGAGGGGCAGCAUGGUCUUAGCUUGCUAAGGCCGAUGGCGACCGGCGCACGGGUGAGUAACACGUAUCCAACCUGCCGUCUACUCUUGGACAGCCUUCUGAAAGGAAGAUUAAUACAAGAUGGCAUCAUGAGUCCGCAUGUUCACAUGAUUAAAGGUAUUCCGGUAGACGAUGGGGAUGCGUUCCAUUAGAUAGUAGGCGGGGUAACGGCCCACCUAGUCUUCGAUGGAUAGGGGUUCUGAGAGGAAGGUCCCCCACAUUGGAACUGAGACACGGUCCAAACUCCUACGGGAGGCAGCAGUGAGGAAUAUUGGUCAAUGGGCGAGAGCCUGAACCAGCCAAGUAGCGUGAAGGAUGACUGCCCUAUGGGUUGUAAACUUCUUUUAUAAAGGAAUAAAGUCGGGUAUGGAUACCCGUUUGCAUGUACUUUAUGAAUAAGGAUCGGCUAACUCCGUGCCAGCAGCCGCGGUAAUACGGAGGAUCCGAGCGUUAUCCGGAUUUAUUGGGUUUAAAGGGAGCGUAGAUGGAUGGUUAAGUCAGUUGUGAAAGUUUGCGGCUCACCCGUAAAAUUGCAGUUGAUACUGGAUAUCUUGAGUGCAGUUGAGGCAGGCGGAAUUCGUGGUGUAGCGGUGAAAUGCUUAGAUAUCACGAAGAACUCCGAUUGCGAAGGCAGCCUGCUAAGCUGCAACUGACAUUGAGGCUCGAAAGUGUGGGUAUCAAACAGGAUUAGAUACCCUGGUAGUCCACACGGUAAACGAUGAAUACUCGCUGUUUGCGAUAUACUGCAAGCGGCCAAGCGAAAGCGUUAAGUAUUCCACCUGGGGAGUACGCCGGCAACGGUGAAACUCAAAGGAAUUGACGGGGGCCCGCACAAGCGGAGGAACAUGUGGUUUAAUUCGAUGAUACGCGAGGAACCUUACCCGGGCUUAAAUUGCAGAUGAAUUACGGUGAAAGCCGUAAGCCGCAAGGCAUCUGUGAAGGUGCUGCAUGGUUGUCGUCAGCUCGUGCCGUGAGGUGUCGGCUUAAGUGCCAUAACGAGCGCAACCCUUGUUGUCAGUUACUAACAGGUUCCGCUGAGGACUCUGACAAGACUGCCAUCGUAAGAUGUGAGGAAGGUGGGGAUGACGUCAAAUCAGCACGGCCCUUACGUCCGGGGCUACACACGUGUUACAAUGGGGGGUACAGAGGGCCGCUACCACGCGAGUGGAUGCCAAUCCCCAAAACCUCUCUCAGUUCGGACUGGAGUCUGCAACCCGACUCCACGAAGCUGGAUUCGCUAGUAAUCGCGCAUCAGCCACGGCGCGGUGAAUACGUUCCCGGGCCUUGUACACACCGCCCGUCAAGCCAUGGGAGCCGGGGGUACCUGAAGUGCGUAACCGCGAGGAGCGCCCUAGGGUAAAACUGGUGACUGG